CUAAGAUUGUGGCCUUAUUCGGAAACAGGGUCUUUGCAGAUGUCAUCCAGUUAGGUUGAGGUGGGACUGGAGUAGGGGGGCCCUCAUCCAAAGACUGAAAGACUGGGGUCCUGGGAAGAGGGAAAUUCUGACUCAGGAGGAGCCAUCCAUGUGAGGACAGAGGCAGAGACAGGAGGGAGGCGGCCACCAGCCCAGGAGGGCCAACAACCGCAGGAGCUGGAGGAGGAGGCAGGAGGGACCCUCCCCUGGAGCCUCUGGAGGGAGCGCCGCCUGGAUCUCCGACUUCUGGCCUCUGCAAGUGGGAGAAUAGAUUACUGUUGUCUGAAGCCUCUGAGUUCAUGGUCGUUUGUUACUGUGGUCCCAGGAGACUAACCCAAGGGUUGUAGAGGGGGCUCGGCUCGUCCCCACAGCGAGCGGGGCAGGCGCUGCUCGGCUCUCCGGGGGCUGGAAGACUCCAUGUUCUGCGACCACUAGCCCACAGCGCCCCACCCAUCCCGCCUCGGGCCACAGAGAGGGCUCCAACUGGGCCGACGUGAUUGAGGCCAGAACUCCAGGCUUUCCAGAAACACAGAGAAGGAACGUGGCAGCCGGCUGCGCUCAUGCUACUAGCUAUGUCCAGCGGACGCAAGCAGGACAGCCACCCAGAGUCGUUCAAACGUGGAAACCAAACGAGGGUGUUGGGGUUCCAUGUGAUUCAGGUUAACAGUGAGGAUGGCACGAUUUCCCUGCUCGUCUGAGCCUGUGCCUCCCCCGGUGCCGCUUCCUUAGGGAGCCGGGCAGUUGGAG
Molecule: long non-coding RNA, 786 nt
Organism: Equus quagga
Lineage: Eukaryota; Metazoa; Chordata; Mammalia; Perissodactyla; Equidae
Exons: 3
Source: RefSeq, a predicted model, not a curated record